Molecule: ribosomal RNA, 253 nt
Filed under: uncultured bacterium
Lineage: Bacteria
Description: partial 16S ribosomal RNA
Rfam family: Bacterial small subunit ribosomal RNA
Source: RNAcentral
UACGUAGGGAGCAAGCGUUGUCCGGAAUCACUGGGCGUAAAGCGCACGUAAGCGGAUCUUUAAGUCAGGGGUGAAAUCCUAGAGCUCAACUCCAGAACUGCCUUUGAUACUGGGGAUCUCGAGUCCGGGAGAGGUGAGUGGAACUGCGAGUGUAGAGGUGAAAUCCGUAGAUAUUCGCAAGAACACCAGUGGCGAAGGCGGCUCACUGGCCCGGUACUGACGCUGAGGUGCGAAAGCGUGGGGAGCAAACAGG